Molecule: ribosomal RNA, 555 nt
Filed under: Eleotris fusca (dusky sleeper)
Lineage: Eukaryota; Metazoa; Chordata; Actinopteri; Gobiiformes; Eleotridae
Description: partial 16S ribosomal RNA
Rfam family: Bacterial large subunit ribosomal RNA
Source: RNAcentral
UCCGCCUGCCCUGUGACCACAAGUUUAACGGCCGCGGUACUUUGACCGUGCGAAGGUAGCGCAAUCACUUGUCUUUUAAAUGGAGACCUGUAUGAAUGGCAUAACGAGGGCUAAGCUGUCUCCUUUCUCCGGUCAAUGAAAUUGAUCUGCCCGUGCAGAAGCGGGCAUAAAAACAUAAGACGAGAAGACCCUAUGGAGCUUCAGACACCAGGACAGCCCGUGUUAAUAAACCUUAACAAAAAGACCAAACAAAACGACCUCUGUCCCCCUGUCUUCGGUUGGGGCGACCGCGGGGGAACAAAAAUCCCCCACGUGGAAUAGGGAAACCCCCCUUAAAAAUAGGGCCACAGCCCUAAUAAACAGAAAAUCUGACCAACAAUGACCCGGCACAGCCGAUCAACGGACCCAGUUACCCUAGGGAUAACAGCGCAAUCCUCUUUUAGAGCCCAUAUCGACAAGAGGGUUUACGACCUCGAUGUUGGAUCAGGACAUCCUAAUGGUGCAGCCGCUAUUAAGGGUUCGUUUGUUCAACGAUUAACAGUCCUACGUGAUCUG